Molecule: long non-coding RNA, 236 nt
Filed under: Panax ginseng (ginseng)
Lineage: Eukaryota; Viridiplantae; Streptophyta; Magnoliopsida; Apiales; Araliaceae
Description: long non-coding RNA (PGIN_LNC003743)
Source: RNAcentral
AGCCCGUAACUUGAUUAUUUGAGCAAGAAGAUUUGAGAAGGCAAAAUUUUAAGAAGAGAGAAGACAAACAUGAGACCAUCUAGUUGAAGCAUCUAUUAAAACCAUGAAAUAUCGAAAUGGGCCAGACAAUGGGUGAAUAGGUCCACAAAUGUCUCCUUGAAUUCUCUCUAGGAAUUUUGGGGCUUCUUUAUAAACUUUUACUGGUGAUGGUCGAACAAUUAAUUUUCCUCGAGAAC